This 735-nucleotide ribosomal RNA is filed under the name uncultured Fusobacterium sp. RNAcentral's name for it is "bacterial SSU rRNA". It matches the Rfam family "Bacterial small subunit ribosomal RNA", at positions 28 to 776 of the family's 1533-position model. Lineage: Bacteria; Fusobacteriati; Fusobacteriota; Fusobacteriia; Fusobacteriales; Fusobacteriaceae. The record is from RNAcentral.
GAUGAACGCUGACAGAAUGCUUAACACAUGCAAGUCAACUUGAAUUUGGGUUUUUAACUUAGAUUUGGGUGGCGGACGGGUGAGUAACGCGUAAAGAACUUGCCUCACAGUUAGGGACAACAUUUAGAAAUGAAUGCUAAUACCUGAUAUUAUGAUUUUAAGGCAUCUUAGAAUUAUGAAAGCUAUAAGCACUGUGAGAGAGCUUUGCGUCCCAUUAGCUAGUUGGAGAGGUAACAGCUCACCAAGGCGAUGAUGGGUAGCCGGCCUGAGAGGGUGAACGGCCACAAGGGGACUGAGACACGGCCCUUACUCCUACGGGAGGCAGCAGUGGGGAAUAUUGGACAAUGGACUGAGAGUCUGAUCCAGCAAUUCUGUGUGCACGAUGAAGUUUUUCGGAAUGUAAAGUGCUUUCAGUUGGGAAGAAAAAAAUGACGGUACCAACAGAAGAAGUGACGGCUAAAUACGUGCCAGCAGCCGCGGUAAUACGUAUGUCACGAGCGUUAUCCGGAUUUAUUGGGCGUAAAGCGCGUCUAGGUGGUUAUGUAAGUCUGAUGUGAAAAUGCAGGGCUCAACUCUAUAUUGCGUUGGAAACUGUAUAACUAGAGUACUGGAAAGGUAAGCGGAACUACAAGUGUAGAGGUGAAAUUCGUAGAUAUUUGUAGGAAUGCCGAUGGGGAAGCCAGCUUACUGGACAGAUACUGACGCUAAAGCGCGAAAGCGUGGGUAGCAAACAGG